Molecule: ribosomal RNA, 459 nt
Filed under: uncultured bacterium
Lineage: Bacteria
Description: partial 16S ribosomal RNA
Rfam family: Bacterial small subunit ribosomal RNA
Source: RNAcentral
CCUACGGGAGGCAGCAGUGAGGAAUAUUGGUCAAUGGACGCAAGUCUGAACCAGCCAUGCCGCGUGCAGGAAGACGGCUCUAUGAGUUGUAAACUGCUUUUGUACGGGGGUAAACGCAGAUACGCGUAUCUUUAUGAAAGUAUCGUACGAAUAAGCAUCGGCUAACUCCGUGCCAGCAGCCGCGGUAAUACGGAGGAUUCAAGCGUUAUCCGGAUUUAUUGGGUUUAAGGGGUGCGUAGGCGGAAUGCCAAGUCAGCGGUAAAAUCGCGGGGCUCCACCUCGCUCCGACGUUGAAACUGGCGUGCUUGAGAGGGCGAGAAGUAUGCGGAAGGCGUGGGGUAGCGGGGAAAUGCAUCGAUAUCACGUAGAACUGCGAUUGCGAAGGCAGAAUACCGGAGCCCAACUGACGCUGAAGCACGAAAGCGUGGGUAUCGAACAGGAUUAGAUAACCGUGUAGUC